Molecule: ribosomal RNA, 445 nt
Filed under: uncultured Alphaproteobacteria bacterium
Lineage: Bacteria; Pseudomonadati; Pseudomonadota; Alphaproteobacteria
Description: bacterial SSU rRNA
Rfam family: Bacterial small subunit ribosomal RNA
Source: RNAcentral
AACGAACGCUGGCGGCAUGCCUAACACAUGCAAGUCGAACGAAGGCCCCAGCUUGCUGGGUAACCUUAGUGGCGGACGGGUGAGUAACGCGUGGGAACCUGCCUUGGAGUGAAGGAUAACCACUGGAAACGGUGGCUAAUACUGCAUAAUCCCUUAGGGGGAAAGGCUUCGGUCGCUCUUAGAUGGGCCCGCGUUAGAUUAGCUUGUUGGUGAGGUAAAGGCUCACCAAGGCGACGAUCUAUAGCUGGUCUGAGAGGAUGAUCAGCCACACUGGGACUGAGACACGGCCCAGACUCCUACGGGAGGCAGCAGUGGGGAAUAUUGGACAAUGGGGGAAACCCUGAUCCAGCAAUGCCGCGUGAGUGAAGAAGGCCCUAGGGUUGUAAAGCUCUUUCACUGAUGAAGAUGAUGACGGUAAUCAGAGAAGAAGCCCCGGCUAACUCCG